AGUUCGGGGGUGUUAAUACACAUCAAAUUGCAAAUUUGAAGUAGGCUGUAAAUGCUUCGGACUU
This 64-nucleotide transfer RNA is filed under the name Amerotyphlops reticulatus (reticulate worm snake). RNAcentral describes it as "tRNA-Cys". The record is from RNAcentral. Lineage: Eukaryota; Metazoa; Chordata; Lepidosauria; Squamata; Typhlopidae.